This 76-nucleotide transfer RNA is filed under the name Saccharothrix longispora subsp. yanglingensis. RNAcentral's name for it is "Saccharothrix yanglingensis tRNA-Lys". It matches the Rfam family "tRNA". Rfam says of the family: Transfer RNA (tRNA) molecules are approximately 80 nucleotides in length. Their secondary structure includes four short double-helical elements and three loops (D, anti-codon, and T loops). Lineage: Bacteria; Bacillati; Actinomycetota; Actinomycetes; Pseudonocardiales; Pseudonocardiaceae. The record is from RNAcentral. RNAcentral also lists the same sequence under 5 other names.
GCGCCGCUAGCUCAACUGGCAGAGCAGCUGACUCUUAAUCAGCGGGUUCGGGGUUCGAGUCCCUGGCGGCGCACAA